AGAACGAACGCUGGCGGCAUGCCUAACACAUGCAAGUCGAACGAGACCUUCGGGUCUAGUGGCGCACGGGUGCGUAACGCGUGGGAAUCUGCCCUUGGGUUCGGAAUAACAGUUGGAAACGACUGCUAAUACCGGAUGAUGUCUUCGGACCAAAGAUUUAUCGCCCAGGGAUGAGCCUGCGUAGGAUUAGCUUGUUGGUGAGGUAAAGGCUCACCAAGGCGACGAUCCUUAGCUGGUCUGAGAGGAUGAUCAGCCACACUGGGACUGAGACACGGCCCAGACUCCGUACGGGAGCAGCAGUGGGGAAUA
Molecule: ribosomal RNA, 309 nt
Filed under: uncultured soil bacterium
Lineage: Bacteria
Description: bacterial SSU rRNA
Rfam family: Bacterial small subunit ribosomal RNA
Source: RNAcentral